UAGCCUCGCACCCCACGGCAUAACGCAGC
This 29-nucleotide non-coding RNA is filed under the name Mus musculus (house mouse). The record is from RNAcentral. Lineage: Eukaryota; Metazoa; Chordata; Mammalia; Rodentia; Muridae.